Molecule: ribosomal RNA, 274 nt
Filed under: uncultured bacterium
Lineage: Bacteria
Description: partial 16S ribosomal RNA
Rfam family: Bacterial small subunit ribosomal RNA
Source: RNAcentral
AUACGGAGGGUGCAAGCGUUAUUCGGAAUCACUGGGCGUAAAGGACGCGUAGGCGGGUUGGCAAGUCAGAUGUGAAAUCCUACAGCUUAACUGUAGAACUGCAUUUGAAACUGCUAACCUAGAGUAUGGGAGGGGGAGAUGGAAUUAGUGGUGUAGGGGUAAAAUCCGUAGAUAUCACUAGGAAUACCGAAAGCGAAGGCGAUCUCCUGGAACAUAAAUGACGCUAAGGCGUGAAAGCGUGGGGAGCAAACAGGAUUAGAAACCCUUGUAGUCC